Long non-coding RNA from Beta vulgaris subsp. vulgaris (sugar beet), 3112 nucleotides. RefSeq lists it as uncharacterized. The transcript has 3 exons. The record is from RefSeq and is a predicted model, not a curated record. Lineage: Eukaryota; Viridiplantae; Streptophyta; Magnoliopsida; Caryophyllales; Amaranthaceae.
UUCUAGGUUAGGUCUCAAACCGCACCAAAAUAAACCGCGAAACACCCCCCCUCUUAGUUAAGCUAGACGAAGAAAGUCGAUGACGAAAAUAUUCCAAAUUCGGGAUUCCGACCGGUGGAGGGAAAUCGAAAUUCGACUCACAGAUAAUUGAUUUCAUGCUUUUCCCCCUCAAAUUAAAUCUCCUCUCCCAUAAAUUUCAAUUCGAUUAGCAUUGUUAAAUUAUCACCCGAAUCAAACAUUUCAAACAAUCUAGGUUAUGAGAGAAGAAGCCCAAUAUAUUCAUGGAACUUCGACCAAAAAAAUUAUAUCUCGCGAAAUUGCUUUGAGCUAUAGAUGACGAAUUGAAGAAGUUGGAGUUACACAUGCAGGAUGAAAACAAGGCGUUGAAUUUCUUAUUUAAAAGGCUGCAAUAUUCAAGAUCGUUUUCAAUCUGUUUUUCCAUCUACACUGGAAACGCAGAGACCGUGUACCCCUGGAGGUUGAUUGCUAUGAGGCCGUGUGUUGUAGCGGGGCAAAUUCAACUUUAGAGCAGUGAAUUUUUCACGCCACGGUUUUCCAGAUAAGUUAAAUUUAUGUUGUUAGCGGUUUUAGUUCCUACAAAAAGUGGUGCAAGAAUGACUGCGUAUUAGCUUUUAGCAUUGUCAAUUUGUCACGGUAGCUUUUGAGACAAUGCAUUUUCAAAGAUAUAACCGCACCAGUGUAUUUGUGUUCCUCAAGCCAAAGCCACAGAGAUUGCAAAGAUCUAAGUCGGCGUAUGGAAAAGGGAAUGGGUCACCUAAGUUUGUUAUUGUUGAGAAUUUGAGAUAUACUUCAGAAGAUCUAAAUGGGAGAGUGUCUCUGGUAUACUACAUUUGAAUCUUGAUAUAGCGUAUGGAUGAUUUCGUGAAUGUGAGGUUUCAAGUGGGCCAAUACCAAUUGGGAUCUUGCUAGAGAAAUUGUUGCUGUGAAGAUCUACUUAUGUUUGGUGCAACCAAAUUGAUGCUGGAAUAUAUCAGGACGAUUGAUUUACGUAUGGAGCAGAUAGGUAUGCCUGUAUGCCAUUGAAAGAUAGACGCAGGUAUGGUGCUAGAGAUUACUGAUAUUAAGGUAGGGUCUUAUGUGUAUAUGGAGGUUAAUAAGUGUAGUGGAUUUUGAACUACUCAACUAAUAUGCUAGCGUUACUUGGCUGACUUAUGUCUUGGAACAGACAUAUUUAAUCCUUUGCCAAACGGAGGAAGGAUGGACCAAAUGUCACCACUGAUAACUUGGGUCAUGGAAGUGGAAUGGGAUCGUUGGAAUUAUAUAUUUGUUAAGAUCAGGGAGUUAGAGACAUGUAAGGCUGCUGGCAAGGUAGAGUGUGUACUUGUCUUGGAGGUACCGCUAAUGAAGUUAUCCACCAGUCAUUUAGAUAUUAAUAAGAAAGAUGAUAAUUAAUACUACUGGGAUGAGAAUUAUGACUUAGUCAGCUUAUAUACGGUGAAUCAUAAUCACUGAGGGUUGUGGAGUACUUGGAGAAUAGUGAUAGGAGGUCAAGUUUAUGAUUUUCUAAUGCACCCUAAGAGACUAUAGUCAUCUUAUUAUUAUUAAGUUUGAGUCAGUGAACAAAAAGAAACUCAAUGCUGGGCACCAACAAUAAUAAAAAGAUCUCAUACUAUGUUGCUGCCCAGGAUCGAACUGGGGACCUUUAGUGUGUAAGACUAACGUGAUAACCACUACACCACAGCAACAAUUAAUGUGAAUAUGUCCCAAGUAGUACUAUAUUCGAUACUAAUUGUCACAUUGUGUCGAUGUUCAUGUAGUCAAGCCUUGGAUUAUUUUUUCUACUCUUUCUCUAAUGGAUAGAAAGUUUACUCCUUUUCAAAUGAAGGGAUGCCUCAUUUUCCUCCCUAUUCAUUACCUUCUUCCUCCUCUUCUCCCAUCCAUCAUCAAUCAUCAUACCUCUGCUUUCCUUUUUUUUCAUUCUCUUUUAACUUGUUUCGUAAGGUUCUAAACAAAAAGGACAAACUAAUUAUUACAAUUGUCUUUUUCUUUGAUAAUAUUUUUUCAUGGAAUACUCUUUCCAUUGAUUUCCAUUCAACUAACAGAGCCUAAAUGUGCAAUUAUUAAUAUAUAAACAAAAUGAAGAAAGACCGUAAUACCUCUCAUCAGAUUUUGAUGCACUUAUUCAAUUAAGAGAAGAAGCGGAGAUGAGAUAGUCUUAUUACGUUGCCUAGAUUGCUGCAAUGCUAUUGAGAGACUUUUUCCAGUCAUUGUAUGAUUGUAGUUGCAGCAGUAUCAUGUAAGAAAUGAGUAGGAGGAUUUGAAGCUAUUGAGUUUCCCUUAUGCUGAUCUAUAAUCUAAGUAAAUAAAUAAUGGGUGUUGUGCGAGCUGUUCUUUAAGGACCGUUUAUAUUGGAAUUGAUUUUUUUUAGUGUUAUAGUUACAGUAGAGGAGAAGUGAUUAACCUGUUAUCCAACUAAUACUCGGCAAAAUAAUUUUAGGUGAGUUUUUCCUCUCUCUCCCCGAACCAUUUUUGUCUUACUUAUUGUAAGGACGUCCUUUUUAAUUUAUUUGGUGUUUGAUAGCUGCAUAUACACACACCUUGAUAUGGCUUGCUAAAUAGCAUAAUUCAAAAUUCAGUAAUUGAAUUUCCAUUUAGACUGCUCAGCAUCAUACUUUAAUGCAUUGAUGGUUUGCCUCAGUUGAAGGGCAUUCUACCAUUGGAAGGAGAUUGGGAUCAUUUGGUCAAUUUGGAAGGUUAAAGAGGAAACCAAACCAAUUACUUCUCCUGUUUCCUGCCCCUGUUUCCUGUGUGACUAUACUCAUCCUCAAUUAUUAUCAAGAUUUAUGAGUAGCAAAGGACUGAUUUUCAAAUCAUCUUAUGAACUACAUUGUAAAUAAAUACAUAGUUCUUCAGUGGUGUGCCGGUAUAAAGUCUCUUAUACAGCAUCUUCUGGUUUAGCAACUACAUGUUGAAGGGAGGUUUUGUGUGUUAGGUCUCUGAUUUUUUCUUUUACAGUCUUUUUGAAUGUCAUUAUAAUAUUAUCAAGACAAUAGAGUAAAAAAAUUAAUGUCUUGAACUCAUUGUUUGGCACUGAUUGAUGGACCAGAGCAAGUGGCAUUUCCAAUAAUAGUAAGUAAGGUGGUGCAUCUUA